AUCUUGCUCAUAAUAGUCAUUGCAUUGCUCCCUCGCUUUCUUUUUAAAGUUGUACAUCAUAUUUUUUGGCCUUCUGAUAUCCAGAUAGCCAGGGAAGCUGAGAUUUUGAGAAGAAGACCUGAUCAUUUGAGGUCAAGACCUGACGGAUGUUCCAGUUGACUUGUAUAUUUGUUUCUUGUAGACACACACAUACAUAGAGAUGGCUUCCCUCAAGUUAACCAUCAUAUGGUUUCUCCUGCUGCAUGCUGUUGCGGUGCUCUAAAGUAAGUUAUGAAAUGGGAUUUGUGCCAAAAUGUAAUGAUGCAGCAUUUGACAGCAGAGCAGCCUCGCCAUGUGCAGGAUAAAAGGAGGACGGGGGAUGUUCAACUCUAAACCGAUUGGUGGUGCAUACAGAAUGACAUUUGCAUGAUUCAGGCAAGUGAACAUAUGAGGAAAAAGAGUUGGAAUACUGCUCUUGAAGAUGGAACUUGACCAAUUUGGUUGAUAUUUAUUGUGCAGAAGCGAGAAAGAUAGUGGAUGGUUAGUGUUUGUACGUGAUGUGAAGGCCGUGACGUGGUCCAAAGAAGAGGAGGAAGAAAAAAUGAAGUAAAUAAUAGUUUUUCCCUUUUUUUUUU
Molecule: unclassified non-coding RNA, 614 nt
Filed under: Hevea brasiliensis (rubber tree)
Lineage: Eukaryota; Viridiplantae; Streptophyta; Magnoliopsida; Malpighiales; Euphorbiaceae
Source: RNAcentral